CAAUAGCGUAUAUUAAAGUUGUUGCAGUUAAAAAGCACGUAGUUGGAUUUCUGGUGGGAGCGAUCGGUCUGGCGCUUAGCGCGAGUACUUGCAUCGUCUCCGGCCAUCCUUGGGGAGAGUCUGUCUGGCAUUAGGUUGUCGGGCAGAGGAUCCUCAUCGUUUACUGUGAAAAAAUUAGAGUGUUCAAAGCAGGCUUAUGCCGUUGAAUAUAUUAGCAUGGAAUAAUAAGAUAGGACUUUGGUACUAUUUUGUUGGUUUGCGCACCAAAGUAAUGAUUAAUAGGGACAGUUGGGGGUAUUCGUAUUCCGUUGUCAGAGGUGAAAUUCUUGGAUUUACGGAAGACGAACUACUGCGAAAGCAUUUACCAAGGAUGUUUUCAUUAA
Molecule: ribosomal RNA, 383 nt
Filed under: uncultured eukaryote
Lineage: Eukaryota
Description: partial 18S ribosomal RNA
Rfam family: Eukaryotic small subunit ribosomal RNA
Source: RNAcentral